GGAGGGGUGGGUGAGUGGCUGAAACCAACGGUUUGCUAAACCGUCCAGGGGUGUCAAACCUCUGCGCGGGUUCGAAUCCCGCCCCCUCCG
RNAcentral lists this transfer RNA (90 nucleotides) under Paramagnetospirillum marisnigri. RNAcentral's name for it is "Magnetospirillum marisnigri tRNA". It matches the Rfam family "tRNA". Rfam says of the family: Transfer RNA (tRNA) molecules are approximately 80 nucleotides in length. Lineage: Bacteria; Pseudomonadati; Pseudomonadota; Alphaproteobacteria; Rhodospirillales; Magnetospirillaceae. The record is from Rfam by way of RNAcentral.